This 382-nucleotide ribosomal RNA is filed under the name uncultured prokaryote. Its description in RNAcentral is "bacterial SSU rRNA". It matches the Rfam family "Archaeal small subunit ribosomal RNA", at positions 339 to 725 of the family's 1478-position model. The record is from RNAcentral.
GCGCGAAAACUUUACAAUGCGAGCAGUCGUGAUAAGGGAACUCCGAGUGCCUGUAAAAUCAGGCUGUCCGCCAGUGUAAAUAACUGGUGAAGAAAGGGCCGGGCAAGACCGGUUCCAGCCGCCGCGGUAAUACCGGCGGCUCGAGUGGUGGCCACUAUUACUGGGCUUAAAGCGUUCGUAGCUGGUUUGUUAAGUCUCUGGGGAAAUCUUCCGGCUCAACCGGAAGGCGUCUCAGGGAUACUGGCAGACUAGGGACCGGAAGAGGUGAGAGGUACUUCAGGGGUAGGAGUGAAAUCCGGUAAUCCUUGAGGGACGACCUGUGGCGAAGGCGUCUCACCAGGACUGCUCCGACAGUGAGGAACGAAAGCUGGGGGAGCAAACC